RNAcentral lists this long non-coding RNA (1126 nucleotides) under Mastacembelus armatus (zig-zag eel). Its description in RNAcentral is "lncRNA (ENSMAMG00000026150.1)". The record is from RNAcentral. Lineage: Eukaryota; Metazoa; Chordata; Actinopteri; Synbranchiformes; Mastacembelidae.
AUGAACCUCUCCCAACUCCAGACCUUGGUCUGCCAGCCACCAAUCAGAACUGGCCAGAGGCUUUUGGUUUCCGCCUGGGUGGCACUGGGCCCAGCUACAUCCUAUCUGUGGUGGAGGGCAGUAGUGCCUACCUGGCUGGCUUGCAACCUGGGGACCAAGUGGUGGACAUCGAGGGACAGGAUGUGACCAACCUCAGCACGCCAGCACUGAUCGCUCUGGCUCAGACACUCAAGACGGUACCACCCAGCAUUGGAGUGGUGUCACGGAUUGAACAGAUUGACAUCAUCCCAGGCCCUGAUGGUCGUUUUGGGUUCACUAUUGUGGGAGACAGCCCUCUGAUGGUAGAGGACUGCGUGCCUAAUGGAGCAGCUGGCCGCAGUGGCCUCAAGGCUGGGGACUACGUCAUGGAGGUCAAUGGCAUCCCAGUGAGACAUCACGAAACAGCGGCAGCCAUGAUCAAAGCAGCACAGGGUCGACCUUUGCGUCUGGGCAUACUGAGCAUGGCCCGGAGGCCCAAGCGGCUGAGCAGCAGCAUGAGGGUGCUGUCGCAGAGCGGGGACAGUGUCCGGGAGAGUCGUGCACAUAAAGCCAUGGAGUUCAAUAAAAAGGUGGAGGAAGUAUUAGGAGAGGAGCCAGAUGUGAAGGAACAGCUGUUUGAAGUGCUGAAACAGUACGCUGCUGACAGGGAUGUGGAAAGUCUGGCUGAGGCCCUGCCUGAUAUCCUGAUCACAGAGGAGCAUCAGCAGCUGAUUGACAGCGUCAGGUAACCAAUCAGUUGCUCAGAUAUGCAUUUAGAGACUAUUACAGGCAAAAAAUUUCUGCGUGCAUGUUGUGUGUAUCUUUUUUUUGUGAAGUCAAAAGUGCCUUAGGUACUAACUGGUCAUUUUCAUGUAGUGAUUAUAGAGAUCUUGACAAGGGAAAGAUCUGGGGAAAGUUUUAUACCACUUUUACCACUAGACUAAAACAGAUUGAUCUGUGGUACUUAAGUAAAAUUCAUGCAAGAUUUACUCUGACAGUUAUUUUAUCCAGCUCUUCUGUUUGCAGUCUAAACUCUAAGUGCAUGCUUUGGAAUUUAGAGAUGCAUUUACGUCUCUUCAUGCAUUAUAAGUAACUGUAUUCCUGCUUG